RNAcentral lists this ribosomal RNA (499 nucleotides) under uncultured bacterium. RNAcentral describes it as "partial 16S ribosomal RNA". It matches the Rfam family "Bacterial small subunit ribosomal RNA", at positions 29 to 523 of the family's 1533-position model. The record is from RNAcentral.
AUUGAACGCUGGCGGAAUGCUUUACACAUGCAAGUCGAACGGCAGCACGGGGGCCACCCUGGUGGCGAGUGGCGAACGGGUGCGUAAUACAUCGGAACGUGCCCAGCUGGGGGGGAUAACGUAGCGAAAGUUACGCUACUACCGCAUACGAUCUACGGAUGAAAGCGCGCGACCGUAAGGCCUCGCGUGAUUGGAGAGGCAGAUGUCAGAUAAGGUAGUUGGUGAGGUAAAGGCGCACCAAGCCGACGAUCUGUACCUGGUCUGAGAGGACGACCAGCCACACUGAGCUGAGACACGGCGCAGACUGCUACGGGAGGCAGCAGUGGGGAAUUUUUGACAAUGGGCGCAAGCCUGAUCCAGCCAUUCCGCGUGCAGGACGAAGGCCUUCGGGUUGUAAACUGCUUUUGGACGGAACGAAAAGGCUCUGGUUAAUACCCGGGGCUCAUGGCGGUACCGUAAGAAUAAGCACCGGCUAACUACGUGCCAGCAGCCGCAGUAA